AGUGCGGGGAGACCGCGUUUAGAGGAUCAGUGGCGGUAGCCCCGCGCGGUACCGGCGAUGGCAGCGAGAUGUCCUGGCCCCUUCCAGGUUUGGAGACGGCCUUGGAGGGCCAGCUUCUCAACUUCAGCAGUGUGAGGAUGGUGUGGUACUUACUGAUGCUGCCAUCCAGCUGUCCCCACUCAGGCUGGCUGAUGGAGAGUCUGGAGGUUCGCUGAGAAGGCAGUGCUGGUGACUACUUAGCUGGUAAUGACAGUAUUUGUAGAGUGGGAUGCAGAGGCCUCCUAGCAAUAUGUGGAGGGAUGGCCCUCAACUAGGCUGGAAGAAAGCAAGCAAAGAGGGGAGCCCAAGGAAAGGUGGGGACAGAUGGGAUUUUUAGAUAACACUCGUCUGCUAUACUUCUAAUGUGUUGUAUGUUAUGAUCUCCAAAUUUCACAUUUGCUGUAGUGAUCUGUAGUGUGUAGGCACCAGUCAAAUGCUGCUUGGCCAAAACAGUGUUAAAUAAAACUGUAAGAAAUGCUA
Long non-coding RNA from Microtus ochrogaster (prairie vole), 519 nucleotides. RefSeq lists it as uncharacterized. NCBI's taxonomy places the organism in Eukaryota, Metazoa, Chordata, Mammalia, Rodentia, Cricetidae. The record is from RefSeq and is a predicted model, not a curated record.